RNAcentral lists this long non-coding RNA (645 nucleotides) under Felis catus (domestic cat). Its description in RNAcentral is "lncRNA (ENSFCAG00000049860.1)". The record is from RNAcentral. Lineage: Eukaryota; Metazoa; Chordata; Mammalia; Carnivora; Felidae.
CCCAGCCUGCCCUGCGGCGCAGGGAGGAGCACCGCGUGCCGCUAGCCUGGUUCCUGCUUUUGGAGGUUUGGCGACAAAGUGACAGCUGGCCGGUUUGGCUCCUCCCCUCACUCCUGGCGUUCUGGCUCUCCCUGUUUUUCCUCUCCUAGGAACCACCUCCUCCUCACGGCAGCAGCGAGAGGUCCUGUGUUAUCUUAAAUUUGGGAUGCGUAUAUCAUCAGAUACACCUUUUUCAGUGGACAUAAUUUUUUGAAGAAAUGUGAAGAUUACCAUAUGAAAUUUUACAUAGAGUCAGGGUUCACACUAGGAGAAGGAGCCUAUUGAUGGUCAGCGUAGCACCAGAGUUUUUCAAGAAGAUGUGGACAUUAUUUAAGAAAGAGCAGGACAGAAGACAGAAUCAGGUCUGCAUAAGAAUGAAAGACUGGGUUCCCAAGAAAAUGUGUUUGAGUUGGGGUUACUUAUAGGAAGUUGUGGAAAAGCGACAGAAUGUAAGCUCAGACUUGAAAGAUGAACAUUUUAUUUUCUCAGGAUAGAAAGAUUGGAUAGAGUAAUGAUUUCCAAAACUGGCUCAUCAAAAUCUCAAGUUUCUUUUUUUACAAGUAUAAACACCAGUUUUCAUCCUAGACCCAUGAAAUGAGACUUGCC